MicroRNA precursor from Gadus morhua (Atlantic cod), 64 nucleotides. Lineage: Eukaryota; Metazoa; Chordata; Actinopteri; Gadiformes; Gadidae. The record is from Ensembl.
UAACCACACUGCCGGUGUCCAGGAGGGCCUGCGUGUCCCUGCUCAUUACCCGCGCCAGGAUGGU